CAGGGAGACAACAAAAUGUUAAAUAUUAAUUUUGUCACCUUAGGUCGAUCGGUAUCUCACAUUCUUAAUUUAUUAAGGAUUUUAUUUCCUAAGUUUUUUCUAGGUCACACCCAUUACUUUUCCUGGGCCAUUAGCUCAGGUGGUUAGAGCGCACCCCUGAUAAGGGUGAGGUCCCUGGUUCAAGUCCAGGAUGGCCCAUAUCUCUAUGUUGGGGGUAUAGCUCAGUUGGUAGAGCGCCUGCUUUGCAAGCAGGAUGUCAGCGGUUCGAGUCCGCUUACCUCCACUGAUUACCACCUCUUCCAUAAUUUUUAGAAUGGAAAUGUUUUGAGUUGUGAUCAAAUUCUGAACGAAUCUAGCUUCCUAAUUUUCUAAAUUAAGAUGCUGGACUCAUUGAAUUAAUUUCUUUGUUUUCAGAGAACCUUGACAACUGCAUAGAUUAUUUUUAAAGACAAUAAGCAUCUUUAAUGAUGCAGAUUUAUUAUUUAUGUGUAAUGCAUUAAUAACAAUUCUAUUAAGCUGAUGCUUCAAUUUUUGAAGUUAUU
Molecule: transfer RNA, 542 nt
Filed under: uncultured cyanobacterium
Lineage: Bacteria; Bacillati; Cyanobacteriota
Description: partial 16S-23S ribosomal RNA intergenic spacer
Rfam family: tRNA (bases 211-283)
Source: RNAcentral